This 424-nucleotide ribosomal RNA is filed under the name uncultured bacterium. Its description in RNAcentral is "bacterial SSU rRNA". It matches the Rfam family "Bacterial small subunit ribosomal RNA", at positions 335 to 776 of the family's 1533-position model. The record is from RNAcentral.
ACUCCUACGGGAGGCAGCAGUGGGGAAUCUUAGACAAUGGGCGCAAGCCUGAUCUAGCCAUGCCGCGUGAGUGAUGAAGGCCCUAGGGUCGUAAAGCUCUUUCGCCAGGGAUGAUAAUGACAGUACCUGGUAAAGAAACCCCGGCUAACUCCGUGCCAGCAGCCGCGGUAAUACGGAGGGGGUUAGCGUUGUUCGGAAUUACUGGGCGUAAAGCGCACGUAGGCGGAUCAGAAAGUAAGGGGUGAAAUCCCAGGGCUCAACCCUGGAACUGCCUCUUAAACUCCUGGUCUUGAGUUCGAGAGAGGUGAGUGGAAUUCCAAGUGUAGAGGUGAAAUUCGUAGAUAUUUGGAGGAACACCAGUGGCGAAGGCGGCUCACUGGCUCGAUACUGACGCUGAGGUGCGAAAGUGUGGGGAGCAAACAGG